AGGGCUGACUGCCCUGGAAAUGGUAUCUUUCUGGAGAUCUCUCCUUGGUGGAGCUUUCCCCUGUGAAUCUGGAAUCUUCUGAUACAGCAUUCCCAGCCAGCAGUCUGAGAUGCUAAAUGCCACCCACCACCCUUAUCCCAGCAGGAGCUCUGAGUCUUCAUUCUCUUUGGAAGGAGAAAUGUUAGAUGCAUGACUUGGAAGGCUGCAUGGAACAAUGUGGAGCUGAUAUGCACAUCAGCCGCAUUGCAGUUCUUUAAGAGACUUUAAGAAGGCAUUGCUGAAAGGUCCUCAAGUGUUACAAGCAUAAAUGGAAGUGAGUAUUAUGGUCAGGCUAUUAACAACAGCCAAGAAAAGGGAGGAAGAAGGAGUUCACAGAACAAGUAAUGGAAUAUUAACAUGGGAAGGAAGCAGGGCCAAAAGAAAACCAGGGAGAUUUUUGGGGAGAAGAGCCUGGACAGACCUGGCACAUAUGAAGAUUAAGGACCAGAGGGUGGAGCAGUGAGGAGCCAAGUAGCCAGCGCUGCUCAAGGCUGCUGAAAAGUUUUAUCUCCAUGAGUGUGGAACAGUCCCUAAUUGGAGGGGAGAUCUUGACGGCUGAGACUGUUUACAAUGAACUUCAAGACUGACAGCGUGUCAGUGUACUUAAUCCUUACACCCUAGGUAUGAGAGGCACCACCCUCCUAUUUUUGGAGCUGAGUGCUGAGACUGUUGAACAGCCACUCUGCAAAGGCUGUGUUGCUAUUAAAUCAUUGUCCC
Meleagris gallopavo (turkey) is the source of this 756-nucleotide non-coding RNA. Lineage: Eukaryota; Metazoa; Chordata; Aves; Galliformes; Phasianidae. The record is from RefSeq and is a predicted model, not a curated record.